RNAcentral lists this ribosomal RNA (490 nucleotides) under uncultured bacterium. RNAcentral describes it as "partial 16S ribosomal RNA". It matches the Rfam family "Bacterial small subunit ribosomal RNA", at positions 30 to 507 of the family's 1533-position model. The record is from RNAcentral.
AUUGAACGCUGGCGGCAUGCCUUACACAUGCAAGUCGAACGGCAGCAUGAUCUAGCUUGCUAGAUUGAUGGCGAGUGGCGCACGGGUGAGUAAUACAUCGGAACGUGCCCUGUAUUGGGGGAUAACUAGUCGAAAGAUUAGCUAAUACCGCAUACGACCUGAGGGUGAAAGUGGGGGACCGCAAGGCCUCAUGCUAUAGGAGCGGCCGAUGUCUGAUUAGCUAGUUGGUGAGGUAAAGGCUCACCAAGGCGACGAUCAGUAGCUGGUCUGAGAGGACGAUCAGCCACACUGGGACUGAGACACGGCCCAGACUCCUACGGGAGGCAGCAGUGGGGAAUUUUGGACAAAGGGCGAAAGCCUGAUCCAGCAAUGCCGCGUGUGUGAAGAAGGCCUUCGGGUUGUAAAGCACUUUUGUCUGGAAAGAAAUGGCUCUGGUUAAUACCUGGGGUCGAUGACGGUACCGGAAGAAUAAGGACCGGCUAACUACGUG